This 243-nucleotide long non-coding RNA is filed under the name Fragaria vesca (wild strawberry). RNAcentral describes it as "long non-coding RNA (FVES_LNC001515)". Lineage: Eukaryota; Viridiplantae; Streptophyta; Magnoliopsida; Rosales; Rosaceae. The record is from RNAcentral.
UGUAAAUGAGUAUAGAUUAAACUGAGAAGUCUGCAUUGCAACAUAACAUCUAUUUGAGAUUACAUCAUUACAUUUAUAAAGAGGUGCAAGUGACACCCCCCUUUCUCUGACUGCAAGUAGUGUCUCCCGUGAUCUGUCUGGAGCAGGAGAGAUAAAAAACAGGUUUCAGUGAUCUGACCAGAAGCAGUAGUAGAGAUAAGAGAACAGGUUUAUGUGGCUUCUUGCAUUUGCAGAUGCUGUAUU